Molecule: small nuclear RNA, 107 nt
Organism: Cynocephalus volans (Philippine flying lemur)
Lineage: Eukaryota; Metazoa; Chordata; Mammalia; Dermoptera; Cynocephalidae
Source: RefSeq, a predicted model, not a curated record
GUACUUGCUUUGGCAGCACAUACACUAAAAUUGAAAUGAUACACAGAAAAUUAGCACAGCUCCUGCACAAGGAUGACAAACAAAUUCAUGAAGCAUUCCAUAUUUUU